CAACACAAAAACUGCUCACGAUGUCAUAUAUGACUUAUUGAUUUUUCACAAUACAGUACACUAUACCAGAAGUCCAGCAGGAUACAUAUACAUAUAGAGCAGAAGUCUUGAGCUUCAUAGGCUCGGACCAGAGUAACCAUAUACUUGCCAUCAAGGCCACUAUAUUUUACAAAACCAUAUCUCACAUUAUACUAGUAAACAACCACUCAUAACAUAUGCACAUGAUGGAAGUAAGAGUCUCAAACGAU
Molecule: long non-coding RNA, 248 nt
Filed under: Linum usitatissimum (flax)
Lineage: Eukaryota; Viridiplantae; Streptophyta; Magnoliopsida; Malpighiales; Linaceae
Description: long non-coding RNA (LUSI_LNC002408)
Source: RNAcentral